This is a long non-coding RNA of Papaver somniferum (opium poppy), 1563 nucleotides long. RefSeq lists it as uncharacterized. The transcript has 5 exons. Lineage: Eukaryota; Viridiplantae; Streptophyta; Magnoliopsida; Ranunculales; Papaveraceae. The record is from RefSeq and is a predicted model, not a curated record.
UUCCCCUUCUUCGUUUUUCUUUCUUCUUCAGCCAUGAAACCGAGAGAGGAGAUCGAGACAGAGAAGAUUAAUGGAAGAUGAUUGAAGAUAGAAAUUGAGAAGGAUUUGAAGUAGAAGAUGUGAAUGCUUCCAUCGAUUAACAACAGGAAGAAUGGAAAUGGUCGUUGCUGUUUCAAGUGAAGAGUUAGGGUUUUGUUUCUGAAGAAUUUAGGUUCGUAGGAGUUGAACUAAUAUGGUUGAAUCUGGAGGACAUGGAUUGAGAAUCUAAGAAGAAAUUGGUGUUACUGUUACCAUGGGUUGAGAACCAAUCGAGAAAUUAGAAGGUGGUAUUGAUUGAGUUGCUGAGAUGGGUGAUUAGGUUCGGAUGGAGGAAUUUUUGAAGAUUAAUGUAGAAUUUAGGGUGUGUAGAAGAUGACUCCGGUGGUUGUUUGCCAUGAUUAAUUCAGAGAAGGAAAAGUCGAAUCUGAGAUGGAAAUGGAUUCAGGGUUUGAGUUUGAAUCAUGGGUUGCUGAGCUCGAGCACCUGUAGUGGGGUUUUGAUUUGAAUCUGAGAUUUGAAAGUGCUGGAUGAAGUUGUGAAAGGGAAUGGAGAUGUUGAUGUUCAUGGGUAUACACAGGAUGGCUAGAAGCCGUGAUAUUAGAUGAAGAAAGUUCAAAAGAAGCAAUCAGUAACAGAGAUUGAUGAAUGGAGGUUCUUGAGAUGUGAAUUGAAGAAAAUGAAAUGCUGGGUGUUAGCAAAGAUUCAGAUGGCUGUUGGUGAUUGUGAACUGCGUUGAACAAAUAUAAAGGAGAAGUGAGUCAGGUGAAAGAGGAAAAGUUGGUUAAAGCCGCCAAGAAAAGUGCUGCGAUUUUGGAUCAGCAUCUCCCUGACCAAUAUAAGACAAACUACCAUGUAUUGGAGCAUGGAGGUGAAAUCUAUGAUGCAAUGUUGAACCAAACAAAAUCUCUCAGAUGAUAAUAAUAAGUUCUACGUGAUUCAAGCUCUUGAAUCAGACGGCUGGCGACGUCCAACGGGGAGGUGAUGCAGUUCCUGCUCCAGCCCUUGCUGCUGGUGGGGAUUGGACUGAUACAGUUGUUCCUGCGGCAGGAGUGGAUGUAUCUUUGGAGUCAGCGGCGGCAUCAUCCCUCCAGCUGCAAGUUGGGAAUGAGGGGUGCAGUAAUGUCUUAUAUUUUUUGCCGGCCUUUUCUCAUGUACUCAAGGUGUUCUAUCGAACCUUGGUUUCUAUGUUGAGCUAAUUUUGUUUUAAUAGUUGAAAAGAUAUUUUAGUUUUCUUCGCUCCAUACCUUGAACCUUUCUUAUUUUAAUAGCAGAUUCCUUUCGUUUGGGAAUGAGGUUCUUCGCACUUGAGAAUUGUAGUUAGUGGUUUUGAGGAUUAUUUGAGCCUUGUUUUUUUUUUUGCUCGUCACUUUUAUGUUCGGAGUAUGUUGCCUUCUGAGUUUAGGGUUGUAACUACUUUAGCUAGCGAGUGAUAGUUUCAGAGAGAGUUGGUGUUGAGAAUCUAAAGAUCUGAAUAUAAGAUUUUUUAUUUUAUUUUAUCAGCUUAAUUCAAUUUUGUUUUACUAA